AGAGUUUGAUCCUGGCUCAGGAUGAACGCUAGCGGCAGGCUUAACACAUGCAAGUCGAGGGGUAUAGUUCUUCGGAAUUAGAGACCGGCGCACGGGUGCGUAACGCGUAUGCAAUCUACCUUUCACAGAGGGAUAGCCCAGAGAAAUUUGGAUUAAUACCUCAUAGUAUUACGAGAUGGCAUCAUUUUGUAAUUAAAGUCACAACGGUGAAAGAUGAGCAUGCGUCCCAUUAGCUAGUUGGUAAGGUAACGGCUUACCAAGGCUACGAUGGGUAGGGGUCCUGAGAGGGAGAUCCCCCACACUGGUACUGAGACACGGACCAGACUCCUACGGGAGGCAGCAGUGAGGAAUAUUGGACAAUGGGCGCAAGCCUGAUCCAGCCAUGCCGCGUGCAGGAUGACGGUCCUAUGGAUUGUAAACUGCUUUUGCACAGGAAGAAACAACUCUACGUGUAGAGUCUUGACGGUACUGUGAGAAUAAGGAUCGGCUAACUCCGUGCCAGCAGCCGCGGUAAUACGGAGGAUCCAAGCGUUAUCCGGAAUCAUUGGGUUUAAAGGGUCCGUAGGCGGUUUAGUAAGUCAGUGGUGAAAGCCCAUCGCUCAACGGUGGAACGGCCAUUGAUACUGCUAGACUUGAAUUAUUAGGAAGUAACUAGAAUAUGUAGUGUAGCGGUGAAAUGCUUAGAGAUUACAUGGAAUACCAAUUGCGAAGGCAGGUUACUACUAAUGGAUUGACGCUGAUGGACGAAAGCGUGGGUAGCGAACAGGAUUAGAUACCCUGGUAGUCG
This 787-nucleotide ribosomal RNA is filed under the name uncultured bacterium. Its description in RNAcentral is "bacterial SSU rRNA". It matches the Rfam family "Bacterial small subunit ribosomal RNA", at positions 8 to 796 of the family's 1533-position model. The record is from RNAcentral.